AGUGAACGCUGGCGGUAGGCCUAACACAUGCAAGUCGAACGGCAGCACAGUAAGAGCUUGCUCUUACGGGUGGCGAGUGGCGGACGGGUGAGGAAUACAUCGGAAUCUACUUUUUCGUGGGGGAUAACGUAGGGAAACUUACGCUAAUACCGCAUACUACCUACGGGUGAAAGCAGGAGAUCUUCGGACCUUGCGCGAUUGAAUGAGCCGAUGUCGGAUUAGCUAGUUGGCGGGGUAAAGGCCCACCAAGGCGACGAUCCGUAGCUGGUCUGAGAGGAUGAUCAGCCACACUGGAACUGAGACACGGUCCAGACUCCUACGGGAGGCAGCAGUGGGGAAUAUUGGACAAUGGGCGCAAGCCUGAUCCAGCCAUACCGCGUGGGUGAAGAAGGCCUUCGGGUUGUAAAGCCCUUUUGUUGGGAAAGAAAAGCAGCAGGUUAAUACCCCGAUGUUCUGACGGUACCCAAAGAAUAAGCACCGGCUAACUUCGUG
RNAcentral lists this ribosomal RNA (492 nucleotides) under uncultured bacterium. RNAcentral's name for it is "partial 16S ribosomal RNA". It matches the Rfam family "Bacterial small subunit ribosomal RNA", at positions 29 to 507 of the family's 1533-position model. The record is from RNAcentral.